GCCAACAAUAAGGAGCUCCUGCCCUAUCU
RNAcentral lists this non-coding RNA (29 nucleotides) under Rattus norvegicus (Norway rat). The record is from RNAcentral. Lineage: Eukaryota; Metazoa; Chordata; Mammalia; Rodentia; Muridae.